RNAcentral lists this ribosomal RNA (907 nucleotides) under Scleroramularia henaniensis. RNAcentral's name for it is "partial large subunit ribosomal RNA". It matches the Rfam family "Eukaryotic large subunit ribosomal RNA", at positions 41 to 979 of the family's 3401-position model. The record is from RNAcentral. Lineage: Eukaryota; Fungi; Ascomycota; Dothideomycetes.
UAUCAAUAAGCGGAGGAAAAGAAACCAACAGGGAUUGCCCUAGUAACGGCGAGUGAAGCGGCAACAGCUCAAAUUUGAAAUCUGGCGUCUUCGGCGUCCGAGUUGUAAUUUGCAGAGGAUGCUUCUGAGUUGUCACCGGUUUAAGUUCCUUGGAACAGGACGUCAUAGAGGGUGAGAAUCCCGUGUGUGACCGGCCGACACUCUCCACGUAGCUCCUUCGACGAGUCGAGUUGUUUGGGAAUGCAGCUCUAAAUGGGAGGUAAAUUUCUUCUAAAGCUAAAUAUCUGCCAGAGACCGAUAGCGCACAAGUAGAGUGAUCGAAAGAUGAAAAGCACUUUGGAAAGAGAGUUAAAAAGCACGUGAAAUUGUUGAAAGGGAAGCGUUUGCAAUCAGACUUGUCUGCGGCGUUCAGCCGGUCUUUUGACCGGCCUACUCGUCGUAAGCAGGCCAGCAUCACUUGGGGCGGCGGGAUAAUUGCUCUGGAACGUAGCUCCCUCGGGAGUGUUAUAGCCAAAGCAGAUGCCGCCAGCCUCGAGUGAGGUCCGCGUUCGCUAGGAUGCUGGCGUAAUGGUUGUAAACGGCCCGUCUUGAAACACGGACCAAGGAGUCGAUCACCCACGCGAGUGUUUGGGUGUAAAACCCUCACGCGUAAUGAAAGUGAACGGAGGUGGGAGCUUAGGCGCACCAUCGACCGAUCCUGAUGUCUUCGGAUGGAUUUGAGUAAGAGCGUGGUUGAUCGGACCCGAAAGAUGGUGAACUAUGCCUGAAUAGGGUGAAGCCAGAGGAAACUCUGGUGGAGGCUCGCAGCGGUUCUGACGUGCAAAUCGAUCGUCNAAUUUGGGUAUAGGGGCGAAAGACUAAUCGAACCAUCUAGUAGCUGGUUCCUGCCGAAGUUUNCCCUCAGGAA